UAAUGCAUGGCACAGUGGUUUGAGUGCUGGAUUAAAACUCUGGAGAUCAGGGUUUGAUUCCCAGCUCAGCCA
This 72-nucleotide transfer RNA is filed under the name Phrynosoma platyrhinos (Desert horned lizard). Its description in RNAcentral is "tRNA-OTHER". Lineage: Eukaryota; Metazoa; Chordata; Lepidosauria; Squamata; Phrynosomatidae. The record is from RNAcentral.